This 258-nucleotide ribosomal RNA is filed under the name Triticum aestivum (bread wheat). Its description in RNAcentral is "partial small subunit ribosomal RNA". Lineage: Eukaryota; Viridiplantae; Streptophyta; Magnoliopsida; Poales; Poaceae. The record is from RNAcentral.
AUGUGGUAUUUCCGCAGGGGAGUUAUGCUAACAAAAGUCAACCUCGCAUAAUGCAACUGGUCAGGAAGUAAGAAGUGUUGUUUUUGUACUCAUGGCGAGACAAUUAAACACCUCUUUCAAUGUAAGUUUGCCUGUUCUACGUGGCCAGCCAUCCAAAUAGCAUCAAAUUUGUAUCCGCCCACAAGUGUUGCCAAUAUUUUUGGUCAUUGGCUGGACAGUAUUUCAAAUAGGUACAAAACGCUAAUAAGGGCGACAUAA